UAGGGAAUAUUGCACAAUGGGCGAAAGCCUGAUGCAGCAACGCCGCGUGUGCGAUGAAGGCCUUCGGGUCGUAAAGCACUUUUCUGGGAGAUGAGAAAGGACAGUAUCUCAGGAAUAAGUCUCGGCUAACUACGUGCCAGCAGCCGCGGUAAAACGUAGGAGGCAAGCGUUAUCCGGAUUCACUGGGUGUAAAGCGCGUGCAGGCGGUUCGGUAAGUUGGGCGUGAAAUCUCCUGGCUCAACUAGGAGAGGUCGUUCAAUACUACCGGACUUGAGAGUGGUAGAGGAAGAUGGAAUUCCCGGUGUAGUGGUGAAAUGCGUAGAUAUCGGGAGGAACACCAGUGGCGAAGGCGAUCUUCUGGACCAUUUCUGACGCUCAGACGCGACAGCUAGGGUAGCAAACG
RNAcentral lists this ribosomal RNA (403 nucleotides) under uncultured bacterium. Its description in RNAcentral is "bacterial SSU rRNA". It matches the Rfam family "Bacterial small subunit ribosomal RNA", at positions 355 to 774 of the family's 1533-position model. The record is from RNAcentral.